UUCCUGGUGGCCUAGAGGUUAAGGACUUGGCAUUGCCACUGCUGUGGCUCAGGUUCGAUCCCUGGCCUGGGAA
RNAcentral lists this transfer RNA (73 nucleotides) under Sus scrofa (pig). It matches the Rfam family "tRNA". Rfam says of the family: Transfer RNA (tRNA) molecules are approximately 80 nucleotides in length. Lineage: Eukaryota; Metazoa; Chordata; Mammalia; Artiodactyla; Suidae. The record is from Rfam by way of RNAcentral.